RNAcentral lists this ribosomal RNA (279 nucleotides) under uncultured bacterium. RNAcentral describes it as "partial 16S ribosomal RNA". It matches the Rfam family "Bacterial small subunit ribosomal RNA", at positions 506 to 784 of the family's 1533-position model. The record is from RNAcentral.
UGCCAGCCGCCGCGGUAAUACGAACUGUGCAAACGUUAUUCGGAAUCACUGGGCUUAAAGGGUGCGUAGGCGGGCUUGCAGGUCAGGUGUGAAAUCCCACGGCUCAACCGUGGAAUUGCGCUUGAAACCAUAAGUCUUGAGGGGAUCAGAGGAGAGCGGAACUGAUGGUGGAGCGGUGAAAUGCGUUGAUAUUAUCAGGAACACCGGUGGCGAAAGCGGCUCUCUGGGAUCUUUCUGACGCUGAGGCACGAAAGCUAGGGGAGCGAACGGGAUUAGAUA